Small nuclear RNA from Hyaena hyaena (striped hyena), 160 nucleotides. RefSeq annotates it as U1 spliceosomal RNA. The transcript has a single exon. The record is from RefSeq and is a predicted model, not a curated record. NCBI's taxonomy places the organism in Eukaryota, Metazoa, Chordata, Mammalia, Carnivora, Hyaenidae.
AUGCUUACCUGGCAAGGAAGAUACCAUGACCACGAAGGUGGUGUUCCCAGGAUGAGGCGUGUCCAUCGCACUCUGGAUGUGCUGACCCCUGCGAUUUCCCCAAAUGUGGGAAACUCGACUGCAUAAUUUGUGGUACUGGAGACUGCAGUUGCACUUUGCC